AGAGGAGCAAGCCCAGCCUUGCAGAAGAUACAGAGACAUUCAACCUGCCUGCUUCUCCCAUGGGAGACAGGAGCUGAGCAGUACCCAUGGGACAAACACCAGGAGAUGUCCAACUGCCUGGAAAAGGAGCUGCUUUGGGGACCAUCCCAGCACUGAAAUCGGGAUGGAGCUGACCUGAAGGAGUAAGAGGUCCUGUCCAUGCGGAACACCCACAGAAAGCCUCAUGGAUCAGCAGGGAUGAGCAAGACCACAUGGAGAAGAGGUUGUUUGGCAGUUCAGCAAAGCAAUGAGGAUGUCCCAUGUCACCUCCAGGCAAUAUUAAAAGGACAAAUGGGAAGAGGCAGCUGGAAGUUAACCCUUGCUGGGGCUGCAUCCCCACCCCAUGGAGGGGGAGGAGGAAGAGGAUGACCCAGGAGGAAUCAGAAACAGGAGUCCUGGUGCUUUGUGGCUCUGCAGCAGCAGGAAGAAUGCGAAAGCGAGAUGGAAGAGGAGGCACAGUGUGGUACCCAAAGCAAAGCGAGGGGCAGGGAUGUGCCUUUGUGAUGGGUUGGUUGUUCUUCACUGAAAGGAAGCAAGCCCAUUGACUCCUCCACACAUGCACAUGAAGUGCUGAGUGCUUUUCUUGGUCAGGUCCAAAUGGGAAGCGUUGGUAGUGACUGGGAAACCACCUUCUGUUGGAUUCCUAUAGGU
Molecule: long non-coding RNA, 690 nt
Organism: Pezoporus flaviventris
Lineage: Eukaryota; Metazoa; Chordata; Aves; Psittaciformes; Psittacidae
Exons: 3
Source: RefSeq, a predicted model, not a curated record